This 320-nucleotide ribosomal RNA is filed under the name uncultured eukaryote. Its description in RNAcentral is "partial 18S ribosomal RNA". It matches the Rfam family "Eukaryotic small subunit ribosomal RNA", at positions 1470 to 1796 of the family's 1831-position model. The record is from RNAcentral.
CCCUUAGAUGUUCUGGGCUGCACGCGCGCUACAAUGGCGUUUUCAAAAAGAUUGCUAAUCCGAAAGGACCAGCGGAUCUUCGAAGCGGCGUCGUGAUCGGGACAGUUGAUUGCAAUUAUUCGACUCGAACGAGGAAUUCCUUGUAAUCGUGCGUCAUCAGCGCACGCUGAAUACGUCCCUGUUCUUUGUACACACCGCCCGUCGCUCCUACCGAUCGAGCGAUCCAAUGAAUGUUUCGGAGCGGAACUGAGAUGCUAAUGCGUCUCUUUUACGCGAAUUUGUGUGAAUUUGAUCGCUUAGAGGAAGGAGAAGUCGUAACA